GCGGCAGUAGCGCGGUGGUCCCACCUGACCCCAUGCCGAACUCAGAAGUGAAACGCCGUAGCGCCGAUGGUAGUGUGGGGUCUCCCCAUGCGAGAGUAGGGAACUGCCA
RNAcentral lists this ribosomal RNA (109 nucleotides) under Escherichia coli. Lineage: Bacteria; Pseudomonadati; Pseudomonadota; Gammaproteobacteria; Enterobacterales; Enterobacteriaceae. The record is from RNAcentral.